This 430-nucleotide ribosomal RNA is filed under the name uncultured bacterium. RNAcentral's name for it is "bacterial SSU rRNA". It matches the Rfam family "Bacterial small subunit ribosomal RNA", at positions 917 to 1345 of the family's 1533-position model. The record is from RNAcentral.
GGACCCGCACAAGUAGUGGAGCAUGUGGUUUAAUUCGAAGAUACGCGCAGAACCUUACCAACACUUGACAUGUUCGUCGCGACUUUAAGAGAUUAAAGUUUUCGGUUCGGCCGGACGAAACACAGGUGCUGCAUGGCUGUCGUCAGCUCGUGUCGUGAGAUGUUGGGUUAAGUCCCGCAACGAGCGCAACCCUCACUUUUAGUUGCCAUCAUUAAGUUGGGCACUCUGAAAGAACUGCCAGUGAUAAGCUGGAGGAAGGUGGGGAUGACGUCAAGUCCUCAUGGCCCUUACGUGUUGGGCUACACACGUGCUACAAUGGUAUCUACAACAGGAAGCAAAACCGCGAGGUUAAGCAAAUCCUCAAAAGAUACCUCAGUUCGGAUUGCACUCUGCAACUCGAGUGCAUGAAGCUGGAAUUACUAGUAAUCGU